GGCCUGCGCGUGCUAUACAUGCAAGUCGAGCGAACAGACGAGGAGCUUGCUCCUCUGACGUUAGCGGCGGACGGGUGAGUAACACGUGGAUAACCUACCUAUAAGACUGGGAUAACUUCGGGAAACCGGAGCUAAUACCGGAUAACAUGUUGAACCGCAUGGUUCAACAGUGAAAGACGGUCUUGCUGUCACUUAUAGAUGGAUCCGCGCCGCAUUAGCUAGUUGGUAAGGUAACGGCUUACCAAGGCAACGAUGCGUAGCCGACCUGAGAGGGUGAUCGGCCACACUGGAACUGAGACACGGUCCAGACUCCUACGGGAGGCAGCAGUAGGGAAUCUUCCGCAAUGGGCGAAAGCCUGACGGAGCAACGCCGCGUGAGUGAAGAAGGUCUUCGGAUCGUAAAACUCUGUUAUUAGGGAAGAACAAAUGUGUAAGUAACUAUGCACGUCUUGACGGUACCUAAUCAGAAAGCCACGGCUAACUACGUGCCAGCAGCCGCGGUAAUACGUAGGUGGCAAGCGUUAUCCGGAAUUAUUGGGCGUAAAGCGCGCGUAGGCGGUUUUUUAAGUCUGAUGUGAAAGCCCACGGCUCAACCGUGGAGGGUCAUUGGAAACUGGAAAACUUGAGUGCAGAAGAGGAAAGUGGAAUUCCAUGUGUAGCGGUGAAAUGCGCAGAGAUAUGGAGGAACACCAGUGGCGAAGGCGACUUUCUGGUCUGUAACUGACGCUGAUGUGCGAAAGCGUGGGGAUCAAACAGGAUUAGAUACCCUGGUAGUCCACGCCGUAAACGAUGAGUGCUAAGUGUUAGGGGGUUUCCGCCCCUUAGUGCUGCAGCUAACGCAUUAAGCACUCCGCCUGGGGAGUACGACCGCAAGGUUGAAACUCAAAGGAAUUGACGGGGACCCGCACAAGCGGUGGAGCAUGUGGUUUAAUUCGAAGCAACGCGAGAACCUUACCAAAUCUUGACAUCCUCUGACCCUCUAGAGAUAGAGUUUUCCCUUCGGGGACAGAGUGACAGUGGUGCAUGGUUGUCGUCAGCUCGUGUCGUGAGAUGU
RNAcentral lists this ribosomal RNA (1054 nucleotides) under Staphylococcus sp. YIM 75784. Its description in RNAcentral is "bacterial SSU rRNA". It matches the Rfam family "Bacterial small subunit ribosomal RNA", at positions 38 to 1075 of the family's 1533-position model. The record is from RNAcentral. Lineage: Bacteria; Bacillati; Bacillota; Bacilli; Caryophanales; Staphylococcaceae.